UUUGACACAAAGGAUCACUCGAUUGGCCUUGAACUAUCAGUAAACUCGAUCUAAAUAGUCGACUUCUUUGUUAACUGAUUAAUCAAAGAUUCAUUCUUUUGACAGUCCGCUUAAGCACAUGCCCAAAACACUUAAGUACGUGCCCUUUUUACCUUAUGUAAACACAUACCUACAGAUCUAGCGAUUCCCUUAGCCUACACUGCUCCCACGCUGGAGACUUACAACGACAUUAUGGGACGCAUUGCGAUCUUAAGGUCUUUUACAGUAAGUUAGACGACUCAAGCUAGGCGGCUCAAGUUGGAGCAAAAGAAAUAAAAGUUUGAAGAAACAUUUAAAAACAAGACCUAACUGUUUUUAAUUGAAACCACCAACAAAACUAAGAACUAACCAUGUGGCUCUGAUAGCAUUUGAUAGCGGAUAAGUUUUUAUCAUAAAACUUAAACGUAAAA
RNAcentral lists this long non-coding RNA (449 nucleotides) under Panax ginseng (ginseng). RNAcentral's name for it is "long non-coding RNA (PGIN_LNC016479)". The record is from RNAcentral. Lineage: Eukaryota; Viridiplantae; Streptophyta; Magnoliopsida; Apiales; Araliaceae.